CAAGUCUGAUGUGAAAUCCUAUGGCUUAACCAUAGAACUGCAUUGGAAACUGGUUACCUAGAGUAUGGGAGGGGGAGAUGGAAUUAGUGGUGUAGGGGUAAAAUCCGUAGAUAUCACUAGGAAUACCGAAAGCGAAGGCGAUCUCCUGGAACAUAACUGACGCUAAGGCGUGAAAGCGUGGGGAGCAAACAGGAUUAGAUACCCUGGUAGUCCACGCCCUAAACGAUGAACACUAGUCGUCGCUCUGCUAGUCAGGGCGGUGAUGCACUUAACAGAUUAAGUGUUCCGCCUGGGGAGUACGGUCGCAAGAUUAAAACUCAAAGGAAUAGACGGGGACCCGCACAAGUGGUGGAGCAUGUGGUUUAAUUCGAAAAUACGCGAAGAACCUUACCUAGCCUUGACAUUGAGAGAAUACUUUAGAGAUAGAGUAGUGCCCUUCGGGGAGCUCGAAAACAUGUGCUGCACGGCUGUCGUCAGCUCGUGUCGUGAGAUGUUGGGUUAAGUCCCGCAACGAGCGCAACCCUCGUCCCUAGUUGCCAGCAGGUUAAGCUGGGCACUUUAAGGAGACUGCCUUCGCAAGGAGGAGGAAGGUGAGGACGACGUCAAGUCAUCAUGGCCCUUAUGGCUAGGGCUACACACGUGCUACAAUGGGGCGUACAGAGAGUUGCGAUACCUCGAGGUGGAGCCAAUCUCAUAAAGCGUCUCUCAGUUCGGAUAGAAGUCUGCAACUCGACUUCUUGAAGCUGGAAUCACUAGUAAUCGUAGAUCAGCAAUGCUACGGUGAAUACGUUCCCGGGUCUUGUAC
This 805-nucleotide ribosomal RNA is filed under the name uncultured Campylobacterota bacterium. Its description in RNAcentral is "bacterial SSU rRNA". It matches the Rfam family "Bacterial small subunit ribosomal RNA", at positions 584 to 1386 of the family's 1533-position model. The record is from RNAcentral. Lineage: Bacteria; Pseudomonadati; Campylobacterota.